CGAUUUCAAUUCUCGUGGCAAUAGGACGUGUUUGGCACGCUCCGCCUAAAUAUUUCCUUCAAGCCACCGGAAAGAACUACAGUAACGUUAACCGGUCUAGUUGGUUAGGGACACCAGCCUCUAAAUCCAAAAUAAAUCGCACGUAGCAGUGAAAACAGUGUCAUUGUGCAACACAGUACAAGUGUGCAGUCACAAAAAUCGCAGCGGCCUGGUUUUUCGCAAAGUGUUUGUGUGUUUACAUGUGUGUUAGUUUGGUAAAAAUAACCUUCGAAGUGUAGAAUCUUUGAGGAUCCCGUUUUUUUCUGCUAGUAACCGUGCAACCGUCUACACAGCGGAUUGGAAAGAAUUCCGAUUUCCCGGCUCUUCGCAUCUGCAACCAACGCCACCAACGACCGUAGCAUUUCGUUUGCUAAUUUCGCGCGUGCGUGUGUGUGUGUGUAUUUGUGUGUUGUUUACAUUGUGACGCGUAGUUAAGAAGAAAGUGCCGACGCUGCCGCGUGUAGGAUAAAGCGAAGAGAAAGAGAGGAAAACAAAAGCAUUCGUGUAACAAUAUCGUACGAUCCCCGCUGGCAGUUUUGUGCCACAUAAUCACUUUCCUUACGCACCGACGUGUCGAGUCCGGGACCGGGCGUUUAACAGCGUAGUGAAAAGAUACCCCCCAAAAAUCCUACACCAUAUCAGCAGUUGCGCGGACGCCAUUGCUAAAAACCUUUUUGGUCGUUGAUCGUCUGGUGGUCGCGCAGAUCUUGAGAACCGAGGUUUUAGAUUGCGGUCUCUCACAUUCGAAUGCCUUCGAGUCAGGGAUAUAGCAAAGUUGCAUCGGAACCUCCGAUCGAUCCAGUGGACGGGACAGUCAGUAUGCCUACGCAAGGAGGGAACGCAAGUGGCGGUGCGGCAACCGCCAUGAUGGGCACCGUGUCUGCCGGUGGUCCCGGUGGCAUUCAGUCAAAUCCGGCUGGGAAGAUUCCGGCCACGAACUCACAGCAGCGCCUCAUGCCCACGGAUUCCGAUUCGGUGACAUCUUCGAUGGACGAAGGCGAGCUGCGUGUCGCACGGGGGAAUCCACACGAUGAGGAUACGGAUACGGACACGACGACAACGGCCGGUCCGAUCGGUGCAAAUGCGUGGUUCACGGUAAUCGUGUUAUGUUUCGUCAACCUCAUCAACUACAUGGAUCGGUUCACGAUUGCGGGUGUGCUAACAGAGAUACAGGAUCACUUCAACAUCGGCGACGAUGAGGGUGGCCUCCUGCAGACCGCAUUCGUACUAUCCUACAUGGUCUUUGCACCCGUGUUCGGUUACCUGGGCGAUCGGUACUCCCGGAAAUGGAUAAUGGUACUGGGCGUUUCACUCUGGAGUACGACCACCCUGCUCGGGUCGUACAUGAACCAAUUUGGAUGGUUUAUCACCUUCCGGGCGCUAGUCGGUAUUGGAGAGGCAUCGUACAGCACGAUCGCACCUACGAUCAUCUCCGAUCUGUUCGUUGGCGAGAUGCGCUCCAGGAUGCUGGCCCUGUUUUACUUCGCCAUUCCGGUUGGAUCGGGCUGCGGGUACAUCGUUGGUGCGAAAAUGGCAAGCCUUAUGAACUCGUGGGUUUGGUCGCUGCGUGUGACGCCAGUGCUCGGUGCGAUUGCGGUGGCACUUAUCAUCAUGCUGCGGGAUCCACAGCGUGGUCAGAGCGAAGGUACCCAUCACAUGGAGGCCACCUCAUACAAGGCGGACAUCUUCGCGAUCAUGCGUAAUCCUUCGUUCAUGCUAUCGACCGCUGGCUUUACCUGUGUAGCGUUUGUGACUGGCGCACUGGCCUGGUGGGGACCGAAAUUCAUUCAUCUUGGCCUAAUAUCCCAACCCGGCAAUGAAAAUAUUACACUGAACGAUGUUUCUUCGCACUUUGGAAUCGUAGCGAUGCUGGCUGGUUUGAUCGGUGUACCACUCGGCACAUUGCUGUCGAAUCGUUUACGGUCCUACUACGAGUAUGCUGAUCCGGUGAUAUGUGCUGCCGGUUUAAUCACUAGCUCACCGUUCGUUUAUUGUGCACUCGUCGUGGUUAAAUACAGUGGAAGCUGGGCUUUUAUACUGGUGUUCUUCGCCGAGGUAGCACUCAACAUAUCGUGGCCAAUUGUGGCCGACAUGCUGCUGUACGUUGUUGUGCCAACGAGACGAUCGACCGCGGAAGCUUUCCAGAUUCUUAUCUCACAUGCAUUCGGUGACGCCGGCAGUCCGUAUUUCGUUGGUGUGAUAUCCGAGGCAAUCAAACGGGUAAUUCGUGUUGGUUCCGACGCAUUAUCAUCCAACACCUUUUUGCAGCUUGAACCGACACAAAAAAUCGCCGUUCUAUCACAGCUUGCGGAAAAUACCACCGUUGCACUGCUCCAGUCCGAGCCGGAUGAUGAUCCACCGCUGAUCAAGUUCCGUGCCCUGCAGUAUGCAUUGUUUUCCACCUGCUUCGUGGAGAUUCUCGGCGGAGUGUUCUUCCUGAUCACUGCGAUCUACAUCGAUCGGGAUAGAGCGCGCGUCCAAGCAGUUGUUCUAGGCUGUCAGCUAGAGCUAAGCGAAAGUUCCGCAUCCGACGGUAACGGUACGGACGAUGGACAACGAUCACCCAUCGGUCCCGGUACCAGCGGUACCAAUGCAUUCCCGGCCUCGACCGUGGCUGCUUUCUAACGGCGGCAAGAAACGAGUGAAGUUAUCUAAUUGGUGGUGUCCUUCGGUUCGUAACGUCCAUCUCGCUCUCCAUCCUUGCCCGGUGUUCCGCUCUUGUCCCGAUGUAACUUAUCUGUGAUCCACCUGCCUGUUUGUCCUGGUGUGUUCCGUCCCAACCAGUUGUAGAAAUAAACGUUACGAAUCGAAGACAUGUGGAAGGUGGUUCAAGGUAGAAUUGAAGAACAAUUGCUCAAACGCUUUGCACAUCAACUACGAACACUUUCCAGACCGAUAUUACAGCACCCGCUGGAUAAGAUUCACUCUUCGUACUUCAUCUGCUUUAGGUAACCAAUCAAACAAUACUUCAGCACAUCAAUUAGGAGGAUCCGUAUCGGACAUUGAAGACGCGUUACCAAGCAUACGGCAAUAAGGGCUCGAAAGACGAUCUAGAACUGUUGAAAACAAGAAAUUAUACAAUUUCUAACCCGUGAUAUAAUGAUUGGGGUUUUGAGUAAGGGUUGCAUUUCGACAACUGACGCCUACAGAGCAGCAGCUCAGGAUUGUCACCAUCAAAGAUACCUCGGUUCCUAGCGUCCGGUAGUAGUGCUCUGGGUUCGACGUAGUUUUAAAUAUGCCAAGGACAUGCAAAAGCAAAGCGAAAACAGAACUGAACUCCAAUUGUUUCCGAACGGACGAAGCUCCGACAGGAAUCGACUUGAUAAGUACGUCAAUACCAAUACAUACAUAUAGAUAUAUAUGAUAAGGUUAAAUCCACGCUGCAUGGAUGAGUGAUGAUUUCCCGGUCGUGUUCGGUAGUGCACCUUUCUCCAAGCUUUCUCACACGGACCCGUUAACUCACCAAUGACGUUUUGCAUCAUCACAUCACGAUCAGAUUAGAUUAAGUUGACUUAACUUGCUAUCCUUCUUCCGGAAUGUUUAGAUCGAAAGAUCAUUCGAGCGUGCAUUGAAUUAGUCGCGCUGUGCCCGGGAAAUUAGUGCUAAAUUAUGCCGAAGAAUGUAAAUAGCUCCACUCACGCAAAUGCGUCCUGUUCCCUCGUCCAUAUCUUCGUUAGCGUUUAGCAAGCUAGAAUAAUUAAAUCCAAUGAACGAAAUCGUCCUACAAAUGUACGCCGUUCGUUCGUGAUCAAACUUUUUGCUAACUAGUGCAAUUGUUCUUUAUUAUUUUCUCGAAGCAUGUAAUGAAAAAGGGUGUAUGAAUGUUACGAAUGAAUGGGAACCCGAUUAGGUAAAACAGUAUGAUACAAAAUUGAAAAUAGUAAACAGCAGGUGCGCAAUCGGUGGAAGUUAUGGGAUGGGGUAGGAUUAUACGAAAGCAAUAGUCUGUGAAAAUGAGAAUUUGGGGGCCAUUUAUUGCUGCAAAAGUUUUCUAACGCUGCUUGUUUAGGAUUAUAUACCGGAGAGUUAAAGGGAAGACGUCCGUUUCCGGCUGUUGGUAAUUAUUCAAAUGAAAAGUGUUCGGAAAAAAUAGGAAACACAUAAACGUUUUAAGCGUUUGAAACUCGACUGAAAAUGCAGAAUAAGGAAUAAUAUGUACGUGUGAUAAAGGUGCUAAAACAGCAAUGAUGCCGCACAAUUACACAAUUGGGAAAAUGGAAGAGCAGUGUUUUGUAGUGGCAGUGAAUAAGUGGCGCAAAUGUGCUACCCUACUUGUUACAAAAGACUGCCCUUUAUGGAAUGUUUCCAUUGCUUCAUCCAUUUUUACUUGCGCUUUCCUUGCGCUAGUGAGAAGAUUUGAUUAAUCUUUUCUUCGAUUUUUUUUGUUUGAAUAGAAUAUGGUUUUUUUUUUGUUUCUGCGUAAGCUAAGCAUAGGUAUAAUGUGUUAGAAUUUAUACAAAAUAACAAAACACUCAAUCACAUAGGACAGAAAUGAAACCUGUUUAAAACACGUAAAACCUAUCGUGCGGCAGCGAUAACUAUCGUUAAUUAGUGGGAAACGGUAAAAAGACUAAAGUACAGGCGAAUGGGCGAUAAACGUUGUAAAACCAUAGGAAAAAGGAAUAAUAACUACAUUAUUUAUUAUUAGAUUCUCGUUAGCUUUUUCUUGUUCACCAGAAGAAAGGAUAGUGUAUGGACGAUUGAAAAGGAAAGUGAAAAGACGAGAAUAAAAUCAUUCAACAGAAUGGAAAACGAAUGAAAUAAAAAUUCAAUGUAUACAUUA
Anopheles funestus (African malaria mosquito) is the source of this 4822-nucleotide RNA transcript. It is a transcript of the gene named protein spinster, with no coding region annotated. Lineage: Eukaryota; Metazoa; Arthropoda; Insecta; Diptera; Culicidae. The transcript is spliced from 8 exons. The record is from RefSeq and is a predicted model, not a curated record.